Molecule: ribosomal RNA, 406 nt
Filed under: uncultured Propionicimonas sp.
Lineage: Bacteria; Bacillati; Actinomycetota; Actinomycetes; Propionibacteriales; Nocardioidaceae
Description: bacterial SSU rRNA
Rfam family: Bacterial small subunit ribosomal RNA
Source: RNAcentral
GGGGAAUCUUGCGCAAUGGGCGACAGCCUGACGCAGCAACGCCGCGUGCGGGAUGACGGCCUUCGGGUUGUAAACCGCUUUCAGCAGGGACGAAGGGUUUCUGACGGUACCUGCAGAAGAAGCACCGGCUAACUACGUGCCAGCAGCCGCGGUGAUACGUAGGGUGCGAGCGUUGUCCGGAAUUAUUGGGCGUAAAGAGCUUGUAGGCGGUCCGUUGCGUCGGAAGUGAAAACUCGGGGCUUAACCCCGAGCCUGCUUUCGAUACGGGCGGACUUGAGGGAUGUAGGGGAGAACGGAAUUCCUGGUGGAGCGGUGGAAUGCGCAGAUAUUGGGAGGAACACCAGUGGCGAAGGCGACUUUCUGGACUACAACUGACGCUGAGGCACGAAAGCGUGGGGAGCAAACA